GUGUUCAGAAAUUUUUCAUAACAUACAAAAAGAGUGGAAAGAACAAGUUAUCUGGAAGACAAAACACCCAAUUUUGAUAUGCAGUGAACAUUUUGACAAAGAUUGUUAUAGAAAGUUAGACAGCAAAAUACUCAGAAAUGGUGCAGUUAAAAUGGGUUGUGUGAACAACUCAUUACAGGUCGCAAGGCAUGACCAUUCAUACCCAAGAGAGAAUCUAAGCAAAGAGCAGCUUUUUGAGUCAUUGCAACAAUCAACAUUAAAGGUUAAACAAUUUCAGAAAAAUUAGUAUUUUUCUAAAAACAGUAAAAGGAAAAUGGAAGAAAAUGUUGAGAGGCUGAAGGAAACCAUUACAAAUUUGAAAGAAAAGUUCAGCAUCCCUGAUGAAACACUAAGCAAUCUACAGAAUACAGCAAAGUACCAGAACAAAAUUAAACAGAAGUGUGAAAAAAUCAAGUUCUCCAAAACAGAACCUGGAAAAGUAUAUGAAACCUAUCAUCGUUUGCAGUAACUCUGCACUUAGUUUCAGCGCAGGCAUACAGAUUUGUUAAGAGACCUUUGAAGAUUGUUUACCAGACAAAAGAACAAUAAGAUUUUAUAUGAAUUUGUUAUGAUCAAGGAGAUGGGGCUUCAGACUGGAUGGUUCACCUGGAUUUACAGAUCAGGUUUUUGAGUUCCUGAAGCAAGAAGUUCAAGAAGGAAGAAAAGUUAUUAGAAGUAUAACCUUAGAUGAAAUGUUUAAUAAUAAACAUCUAUUCUUUGACGGAGAAAAAUACCAAGUUGUGGUAGAUCUAGAGGAUGAAGAGGAGGUUGGAGAUGAUGAACAACUUGCAAGUGAUGCCCUUGUGUUUUUGCUGGUAGCUGUAAACACUGAACAGUUCUUGGAAGGUUCCACUUGGCUACUUUAUUAUAAAUGAAUUAAA
Eurytemora carolleeae is the source of this 920-nucleotide long non-coding RNA. RefSeq lists it as uncharacterized. The record is from RefSeq and is a predicted model, not a curated record. NCBI's taxonomy places the organism in Eukaryota, Metazoa, Arthropoda, Copepoda, Calanoida, Temoridae. The transcript has 3 exons.